CAAAGGUUUAUUUGCAUGACGCACAAACAGACACAAUUGAAAGGUACAAAUGUGCAUGACACGAAUUCAAACGUGCUGCAGAUGUGUGUCACCAGUUGAUCUGGCUGUAGGCUGUGGCACUUGGCCAGAGGUGGCGCUGGUUGACUCGACUCCAUGUUGGUGCACAGAGCAAACUGCUCGCUUUAGUUGUGGAGCAAAAACGCUGAAUUCGGUGAAAUAAACCGUGCGAGUGGAACGAUAACGACGACAAGGGUCUCCCGAUCGUUUACUCUUGCUGUCCUGUGAACAACAACGGCGUGGUGUUACUUGUUUGCUGUUUUCGCGAUCGAGUCGCGCAUGAGGAUAUCACCAGGAGCUCCUGAAACGCAAGACUGCCACACAUCUGUUCGACCAACGCCAGUUGAUCUAAACGCCAGUUGAUCUGGAACACCGGAGAGCAGAGGCAGUCGCUCGUUAAGCUUAACGUGGGAAUGCUUUACAAACAUUCAGAGAUGGACUUACACACUUGCUUUACUUCUCUCGGGGAUAACUUUGUCAGAGAUGAAAUGCCAGGUUGCUAGCGAAGCUCCACAUGCUAUCCAGACCACCGACAGGUCCCGCAUGCCACAGCUGCUCUAUCACGUGAUGCAUACUGCUCCGACUGCUAACGUUCUGAGUAAAUCCUAAGAGAAGAUCAGAACCAUCAAUGAAUAAACAGUUUGUAUGACAGCCAAUAAUAACAAUAUCAUAAUAAUGACAAAAAUAUUGGCAUUGGCCAGUGGUACCUCUCCACCUCCUAGUAGAUAAACCUUUCAAUUUCAAAUCAAUUGCAAUAUUCUAUGUUGCUUUAGGCAAGUUACCUAAAAUCCAAUAAAUCAGACAAUAUUUAUGUUUCUUGCAUGAAACAAUAGAUUGCAAACCUGGAAGUCAUUAAUAUGCAAACACAAUGAAAUCUUUAAAUCCUCACAUGAAAAAAAGGAUUGUUUGACCAUCAAAACUUGUAUUUGGUGUAAAUUUGCAGAACAGGCUAUAUGACUACUAGCAAGCUUGUCCACUAUAUCAUUGUAGUCUGUCUGUCAGUGCGCCCCAGGGUGGCUGUGGCUACAAUGUAGCUUGCCAUCACCAGUGUGUGAAUGUGUGUGCGAAUGGGUGGAUGACAGGUUGUGUAAAGCGCUUUAGGGUCCUUAGGGACUAGAAAAGCGCUAUACAAAUACAGGCCAUUUACCUUUUUUUUUUUUUUUUUUUACCAUUAUGCCCAAGUAGCUGAAGAGACUUAAGUAUGGGAACAUAUUGAAAUGUUUUGUUGAACCUUGCCUCUAGAACAUACUCAACAGGUUCCACAACAUUAAACUUUUCCUCACAGAAUUGCUUAAGUUUGAAAUCUGAUGCUAGUGGACGUCCCUUAGAUUUAGCUUGGACCAAAGGACUGUUGCUAGAAAUGGCAAGGCUGAGUUCCUUAAUUAUAACCUGAAGAUUAUACUUAAAAAAAUCUCAACCGUUGUAUUAUGUGAUAUCAGUGCUGUAGCAGAGGCAAAAAUGAAACCUUCAAGUAACUUUUGAGAAAUUGGACAAGCCAAUUUUUUAAUCAAUUUUUCAUUUGGUACAACUUCA
Molecule: long non-coding RNA, 1590 nt
Organism: Astatotilapia calliptera (eastern happy)
Lineage: Eukaryota; Metazoa; Chordata; Actinopteri; Cichliformes; Cichlidae
Source: Ensembl